Molecule: ribosomal RNA, 171 nt
Filed under: Mycobacterium gordonae
Lineage: Bacteria; Bacillati; Actinomycetota; Actinomycetes; Mycobacteriales; Mycobacteriaceae
Description: partial 16S ribosomal RNA
Rfam family: Bacterial small subunit ribosomal RNA
Source: RNAcentral
AGUCGAACGGUAAGGCCCUUCGGGGUACACGAGUGGCGAACGGGUGAGUAACACGUGGGUAAUCUGCCCUGCACAUCGGGAUAAGCCUGGGAAACUGGGUCUAAUACCGAAUAGGACCACAGGACACAUGUCCUGUGGUGGAAAGCUUUUGCGGUGUGGGAUGGGCCCGCG